GGGGAAUAUUGGACAAUGGGGGAAACCCUGAUCCAGCGACGCCGCGUGUGUGAAGAAGGCCUGCGGGUUGUAAAGCACUUUCGGUGGGAACGAAAUAUGCCGGGCUAAUACCCCGGUAGGCUGACGUUACCCAAUGAAGAAGCACCGGCUAACUCUGUGCCAGCAGCCGCGGUAAUACAGAGGGUGCGAGCGUUAAUCGGAAUUACUGGGCGUAAAGCGCACGCAGGCGGCAUCGUAAGUCGGAUGUGAAAUCCCCGGGCUCAACCUGGGAACUGCAUUCGAAACUGCGAUGCUCGAGUAUGGGAGAGGACAGCGGAAUUCCGGGUGUAGCGGUGAAAUGCGUAGAUAUCCGGAGGAACAUCAGUGGCGAAGGCGGCUGUCUGGCCCAAUACUGACGCUCAGGUGCGAAAGCGUGGGGAACAAAC
This 425-nucleotide ribosomal RNA is filed under the name uncultured bacterium. Its description in RNAcentral is "bacterial SSU rRNA". It matches the Rfam family "Bacterial small subunit ribosomal RNA", at positions 356 to 773 of the family's 1533-position model. The record is from RNAcentral.